UUCUAAGUCUAAGUAUAUCCCAUGCCAUAUUUGGGAUAUACUUAGAUUAAAA
Molecule: microRNA precursor, 52 nt
Filed under: Tupaia belangeri chinensis (Chinese tree shrew)
Lineage: Eukaryota; Metazoa; Chordata; Mammalia; Scandentia; Tupaiidae
Description: Tupaia chinensis (Chinese tree shrew) mir-1302 microRNA precursor family
Rfam family: mir-1302 microRNA precursor family
Source: Rfam by way of RNAcentral